UCCUGGUUAACCCAGGCAGUCUCGCUAGAGUGCCCGACAUUACUCGCUGGCAACUAACGACAAGGGUUGCGCUCGUUGCGGGACUUAACCCAACACCUCACGGCACGAGCUGACGACAGCCAUGCAGCACCUGUUCAAGUGUUCCUUGCGGAAACACGACAUUUCUGCCGCUGUCACUUGUAUGUCAAGCCUAGGUAAGGUUCUUCGCGUUGCAUCGAAUUGAACCACAUGCUCCACUGCUUGUGCGGGUCCCCGUCAAUUCUUUUGAGUUUCAGCCUUGCGACUGUACUCCCCAGGCGGUAUACUUAACGCGUUCGCUACGGCACAGCAGGGGUUGAGGCCUGCUACGCCAAGUAUACAUAGUUUAAGGUUAGGACUAC
Molecule: unclassified non-coding RNA, 380 nt
Filed under: uncultured Parachlamydiaceae bacterium
Lineage: Bacteria; Pseudomonadati; Chlamydiota; Chlamydiia; Parachlamydiales; Parachlamydiaceae
Description: contains 16S-23S intergenic spacer region
Source: RNAcentral